GUUAGCCAGAGGAUUUCCAGGUGGAGACAGACUCAUCCUAUUUUGCACAUGACAGGAUUUUUGUCGUGACUUUCCUAAAUUCUCACUGUGCCAAGCAAGCAAGAAAGUGCCCACAGGAGUGGGAGGGAAAAGACACAUGGGAUGGCAGCAAGGAAACCUGCCUAGAGGAGCCAGCCAUCCCGUCUGUCCCCUCACUUCCUUCCAGAGAGAACGUCUUUCCUUGACAGCGCCUGCCUCCUGUCAUUUCAUCCCAACACUUUGCCCAGCCCGGGAAAUCUGGAUUUUCUUUUUAAAGAAAGAUGUCUAGAGAGAAAAAUAGAAAAUGAACAGCCA
RNAcentral lists this long non-coding RNA (333 nucleotides) under Homo sapiens (human). RNAcentral describes it as "non-protein coding lnc-PTBP2-1:1". Lineage: Eukaryota; Metazoa; Chordata; Mammalia; Primates; Hominidae. The record is from RNAcentral.